This 468-nucleotide ribosomal RNA is filed under the name uncultured bacterium. Its description in RNAcentral is "partial 16S ribosomal RNA". It matches the Rfam family "Bacterial small subunit ribosomal RNA", at positions 28 to 507 of the family's 1533-position model. The record is from RNAcentral.
GACGAACGCUGGCGGCGUGCUUAACACAUGCAAGUCGAACGGAAAGGCCCUGCUUUUGUGGGGUGCUCGAGUGGCGAACGGGUGAGUAACACGUGAGUAACCUGCCCUUGACUUUGGGAUAACUUCAGGAAACUGGGGCUAAUACCGGAUAGGAGCUCCUGCUGCAUGGUGGGGGUUGGAAAGUUUCGGCGGUUGGGGAUGGACUCGCGGCUUAUCAGCUUGUUGGUGGGGUAGUGGCUUACCAAGGCUUUGACGGGUAGCCGGCCUGAGAGGGUGACCGGCCACAUUGGGACUGAGAGACGGGCCAGACUCCUACGGGAGGCAGCAGGGGGGAAUAUUGCACAAUGGGCGGAAGCCUGAUGCAGCAACGCCGCGGGCGGGAUGACGGCCUUCGGGUUGUAAACCGCUUUCGCCUGUGACGAAGCGUGAGUGACGGUAAUGGGUAAAGAAGCACCGGCUAACUACGUG